GUGAGGAAUAUUGGUCAAUGGGCGGAAGCCUGAACCAGCCAUCCCGCGUGGAGGAAGACGGCCCUAUGGGUUGUAAACUUCUUUUCAAGGGGAAGAAAGUUCGCGACGUGUCGCGAUUUGCCGGUACCUUUGGAAUAAGCAUCGGCUAACUCCGUGCCAGCAGCCGCGGUAAUACGGAGGAUGCGAGCGUUAUCCGGAUUUAUUGGGUUUAAAGGGUGCGUAGGCCGAUCGAUAAGUCAGCGGUGAAAUACCAUGGCCCAACCAUGGAACUGCCGUUGAUACUGUCGGUCUUGAAUAUGGUCAAGGUAGGCGGAAUGUGUAAUGUAGCGGUGAAAUGCUUAGAUAUUACACAGAACACCGAUUGCGAAGGCAGCUUACUGGUCCAUUAUUGACGCUGAGGCACGAAAGCGUGGGGAUCGAACAGGAUUAGAAACCCCGGUAGUCC
This 445-nucleotide ribosomal RNA is filed under the name uncultured bacterium. RNAcentral describes it as "partial 16S ribosomal RNA". It matches the Rfam family "Bacterial small subunit ribosomal RNA", at positions 354 to 796 of the family's 1533-position model. The record is from RNAcentral.